UCAUCCUAUCAAGUUGCUAUGGUGAAGGCAACCCAAAAGGACCAUGCACAACCGAAUCAAAUAAUUGCCUAAUAUAGUUGCAGCCUUAGACACUAUUCCAACAGUCUCCCACUUGGAUAAGUCUAGUAACUAUAUACACAAGCAUAAUCCAUUGCAAUCGUAACUCUCAAAGACGCUGUCAAGCUCUGAUCUAAUCAAUCUUGUCCUUCAGAUAAGAGAUCGUACAGUCCUCUGUUUAGAUAUCAUGCUGACAAUUCUAUGGAACUAAUUUGUCUAGCAUUUGGUUUCUCGAUCUCCGAUUUAUUUGACAUAGAACUUAAUCGAACACAUCAAUUCAGUUCUGACCGGGCCUGGCACAUAAGUCAAAUCAAAUCAUCGAGCGGCCGAGAUGUCGCUUUUACCUUCUUAGGAUAAAAGUAACAGAUAAACUUCGACUUAUAUGCAUUUACUUAUUCAUUAAUCAACUAUACACAACAAUGCGUUUUAUAACAUCAAGUUACUGAUGCGGUUUCGCAUUAUCAAUGUACAACCAAUUAACAAAUAACAAACCAUAUAUCUUGGCUUUAAGACCAUAUGAUAUUAUCAUCUUGCGAUCACCUUUUAUCACAUUCCAUAAGGUGAUUCCAGCAAGCGGGUGUUUGUUCCAAUGCUCAAAACUAGUUCAUAAGCACUCAUGAACNNNNNNNNNNNNNNNNNNNNNNNNNNNNNNNNNNNNNNNNNNNNNNNNNNNNNNNNNNNNNNNNNNNNNNNNNNNNNNNNNNNNNNNNNNNNNNNNNNNNAAAACACCUGAAUCAAAUAUAAAAUCCAAGAAGUAAGAAAUAAAUCCGAUUUAUAAAACAAAGCAAAUUAAACACAUAUUUCGAAUGAACUCAUCCAAAUACGCUUUCAGAACCAACAAAACCCACAUCUGAUUAAUGCAACAGUGAAAAAAUGAUAAUAAAUAAAAAUCCAAUAAGUUUUUGAGGAUUCCACUCUUUUUUCCUAUAAUCAAAUAGAGUAGAAAUCAAAUAAAUAAAAAACUAAUCUGAUUUCUGAAACAGAAACCAAAUCGAAUGAAAUCAUUUAAUAGUUGGAAUAUCAAUAUUUUUUGAAAUUAGGAGAGUACAGAAAAACUCAAGAUAAAGGUGUCGAUUCUACUUAUUAUUUUGAAUCUCAACUAUUUUCAAGUGAAAUCGACAAGUCUCAUACUCUCAUUCUAUUUUUCAAAAUAACUUAUGAAAAUGAGUUAAAUAAGAAAUUAAUUAGUUUUUUGAAAACCUAAAUUAAAUAAACAUAAUUUUCGAAUGAAAACACCCAAACUUGAUUUCUAAAACAACCAACAAGAAACAAAUCACACCAAAAUCAAUGAAUAACUAAAUCAGAACUUCAGAAGAAAGAUUAGAGAAAAUCGGACCUUGAAACCGGACUAGAUCAGAGGAAUCGUUGAUAUAUCGUGACUAAGUGUCAACUAAUAAAAAAAGAAAUUGAGAUAACGAGAUUUGAGAGAUAUAUGUUAUCGAUUUAUGGACUGGAAGUGAAAAAUAGAGAAAUCAAAUCGUACUUUUUUAUUUGUUGGCGACGUUUCUAGGUAGGCAAUGCCGCAUUAAUCCCAUUGACAAAGCCAACAGGUUUCUAGGCAGUAGGCACCAAGCGAGAGGCGACGUUUGGUUUAUCUAUGCGAAUGAUCGAGGAUACGAUGAUUAUUCAUUUGUUUGGCACGUCUCUUCCUUUCUCACGUUGAGCUCACAUCACAGAACAAAAUAUGGGCUAAGUUUUUGGGCCAUUAUAAUAUAUAGUAUAUGUAGCCGCACCAUUUUGAUGCCCUUAAAAGUUUGAUGCCCUGGGCCUAAGCCCAAUUCACCCAUGUAUUGGGUCAGCCCUGCUCCUCACAGCCAUUGAGUAGCCUGAAACUUCGACAUCGACCUCUGCUAGUCCUUUGUCGGAGGGCUUUCUCCACCGUAUGCCACACUGCAUCUCGGACCAGUGAGGCAACGACCUCCGUUGACAUUGAUUUAUAUUGACAUUGAUCUGUAAGUUGCUCUUUUAUCUCUAUCUUUCUUUCCAUUUCUUUCACUAACAUGUUACAAUAUCUACGUUUUAAAGAGUACUCGUUAUAAACCUGUACCACUUUUAAGAGAAUUAGCUAUUUAGCUAGUCUAUUAUGAGGCUUAAGUAUUUUUAUUAUUAUUUAGACAAAAUGUAAAAAUAGUUCAUGUGGUAUGCAUUUUUAUGGGGUUUUAGUCCAAACCCUGACUUUUUGGGCUUCGUGGUCAUUUUGAACUAGUUUCAUUGCGGAUUUGGUCCCUCGGUAAACUGAAAUGACUUUAAUACCCUUGAUUAUUUAUUUUGUAUUUCUAAAUUCAUUUUUGUUAAGUUUCAAUAAUUAUUUAUUCAUUUUAGUAAUUAAAAAAUGAAAAAACCUUGAUCUCGUCACCGCUACCAAGUCUACAAACAAGAUACUCAGAUUUGAAAACGAGGUCCUCAGAUAUGAAAGUUAUCAUCUCCUUGAGCUCGUCUCGGCUAAAAGAGAAGACGUACGGCGGCGGCGUUAGGGGUUGCUUUAACAGGAGGAGGAGGAGCAACACCUUCAAGAAGAAAAAAUCAAAUCGAGUGCAUGGGUCUCCGAUCUCCUCCUCAGCUGAUGAGCUCCUCCUCCUCAGAUUUGAUUCCGUGUGUGUGGAGAAGAAGGAGAUGGUGGAGGUUACCAGAAAAAUCAAUUUAAAGAAAAAAUGAGGUGAAGGACACGAUGGUAGUGGGGGACAGUAGGUGGAGAGUGUAUGUGUUCUUGAGUGUGUGUUCAUGAAUAUGAAUCUAUGUUCUUGAGUUUUGUAUUUGGAGAGAGAGAGAGAGAGAGAGAGAGAGAGAGAGAGAGAGAGAGAGAGAGAGAGNNNNNNNNNNNNNNNNNNNNNNNNNNNNNNNNNNNNNNNNNNNNNNNNNNNNNNNGAGAGAGAGAGAGAGAGAGAGAGAGAGGUGGGCCCUCUUUUUAUAUUAUUAAAAAAAUUAUUAAAAUAAAUAAAUAACUAUUAGAUUUUAAAAAAUAUUGAAAGAAAAAUGAAAAAUAAAUACCCCAAACAUAUUAAAGUCAUUUCAGUUUACCGAUGGACCAAAUAGGCAAUAAACUAGCUCAAAAUGAUCACGAAGCCAAAAAAAAAAGUCAGAGUUUGAACUAAAACCCCCUAAAAAAAACAUACCACAUGGAUUAUUGUUGCAAUUUUGUCUAUUAUUUAAUGUUUGUUAAUCCUAUACUUAUAUUUAUUUAAAUAAAAGAAUAUUAUAAAGUUUAAAGAAAAAUUAACAUUAACGAAAAUAAUUUGAUCGGCUAAUUGUCAAUGUAUAAUUAGUAAUUUUGUAAAAUAAUUUUUGUAAAGUUAAAAUAAUUAGUUGUACCGAAAUAUAAUUAUUGUUAUUAUAUUUUACUACUUUGUUAACUAUUAAUAAAUCAUAGUCUGCGUCUAGAUGGUAGAACAAUGACUUUUGGUUUCGGGCCUUUCGAUUAAAGUGUCCAUCCCGCCCUCCCCUCCACCCCCCUGCUAACUAACUACCAUAUGUAACCUGCUUAAGCGAACUGCCAAUAAGUAGCCAUGCUUAUGAUGACUCCAAUAAGCAACUCAACCUUUACACUCAACAAAUUUGUUCAUUUUUACCCCUAGCCGGAUUUUACAUUUAAAAGACGGUCACACCUUAGCUGACGCACUCAACAAAUUUGUUUAUUUUUACCCCAUAUUAGGAGUUUACCUUUAAAGGUAGGUCACACCUUAGUUGAUGCAAUGAAGUUGUUAGGUUGGAAAGAUGUUUUAUUCAAGGGAGAAAAAACGCAAGUAAUUGACGAGAAAUGGAAGAAGGGCGUUCGAACCCAUAUAUCCUCCCCAGAAAGCCAACACCUUUAUUGCUAGACUAAAAUAGUUUGUUUGAAAACUUUCUUAAAAGAUUAUACUUAAUAUCUAACAUGCAGGUUUUAUUAUUAUUNNNNNNNNNNNNNNNNNNNNNNNNNNNNNNNNNNNNNNNNNNNNNNNNNNNNNNNNNNNNNNNNNNNNNNNNNNNNNNNNNNNNNNNNNNNNNNNNNNNNGAACAAAAUUAAAUCGAAUUGUAUCUCAGUUGCAAAUACGACAAAUCAAAUUAAAUCCAAUAUAUUUAUACAUAAAUAAAUAUGCAUAUAAUUGCCCUGUGGCUUUCCUUCACAACCAAUUACUUUUUCCAUUUUCUCUCAGUUUUGAGUAAGUUUGUUAACAUAGAUGCAUAACAAUUGGACCUAGAUCAUGUAACAUAACUCUAUUAUUAUUAAUUUUUUUAUUGUAAAUAUAUUAAUUACUUGUGUUGGAGUUAUUCUAGCUCAUUAGUAACACCGUCAAUCUUAGUUGAUGAACAUCAGGNUAUAUAUAUAUAUAUAUAUAUAUAUAUAUAUAUAUAUAUAUAUAUUGACAAGAAUUCUAAACUUAUUCAAACAGAGAAGAAUUUUAAUUGCACCCUAUUACAACUGACUUUUAUAUUGUUGGAAAAAUGCAGAUGACAGAUUAUCUAUGCGAAGAGUUGAUUGUUGAAAUAUUUACAAGACUACCACCGAAAUCCCUCCUCCGAUUUAGAUCACUCUCUAAAUCGUUAUAUACUUGUAUUUCUAGUCCCCAGUUCAUACGCUUGCACACAUUCCGAUCCCCACAAAAAAUCCGCUUCACGCAUGAAAAUAUUGACAAUAAUAAAAUAGCAGAAGUCGUUUAUACAUUACACGGAGAAGACGAAUUGCCAUUGUGUUUGUGUCCCAAACGCGGAUAUAUUGGUAUAACAACAAGAAUUCCGUUUCCUUGUAGCAAUAGGUUCAGAACUGUUGGUUCAUGUAAUGGAACUUUCUGUUUGAAGACUAAAAAUGGUUUGACUCUAUGGAACCCUUCAAUCAGACGCAAAGUAAGAGUGGCUGAAUGUCCUCGGAGUUCUGAACUCGCUUUGGGAGGUAUUGGGUUUGGAUUUGACCCAAUCAGUGACGAUUACAAAAUUGUUUGGAUAUCAUAUGAAAAAGACACUUCAUUUGUUUAUGCGGUGAAGACAGGCACUUGGUGUGAGAUUGCUUCCCCUAAACCUGAGUUUACUUAUGUGCGACGUGAGGCGUUUUUAUUUAAAGGAGUAUUGCAUUGGGAGGUAAAUCAUUUUGACUUAGACUUUUCUUGUAUACUGACAUUCGAUUUGAGCACUCAUGUUUUUGGUAUGAUUCCAUUUCCUGGAUUGGCUCCGGACUGGUUGACGACAAGACUAACAACCAUCCAAGAUUCUCUAGCUUUGAUUUGUUAUCGCAUGAGUAUUGAUGAUAGUUGGAUUCUGGUAUGGAGAGAUGCUUCUUGGUCUGUGGUUUUUAAAUUGGGAACAGGUAAACUUCCAGUUGAUGGAGCUUUUCAAUUCCAACCACAACCGCAAACGACCAACGAGUGUAAUUUGUUGCUCACUACUUAUGGGGAAGGGUUCCAAAUUUAUAAUCCCAAGACAGGGGUGCGAUCAGGAAUACUUGGAUUCAAUGCUGCUUCUAGUUUAAUAGACUUUUGGGAGUGUGUGGAAACACUUCAUUUAUUAGACAUGGGGGAGGCUGCUUGCGAAACAACUCAACUAUGAGAAUUUUUUUUACAACAUUUGGGUUUUUGACGCAUUUUGAUUACCAUUUUAGUCUUUAUCAUUAAUACAAAAGAGUUGAUGUUACUGAUUCCUUCAUUCUAUUAAUAAAAAACCGAAUAUGUAAUUUCCCACUUCUUUGCCAAUAAAAUGAGAUCUUAUUGGGGCUGUUUUAACGGCUAGACUUUAUAUAAAUUGAACUUCAAGAAGCAGGAAUUACAUUGUACAAUAUAGAAGGUGUUGGCCCAUGAGUUCCAUAUCAAAUCCCUACACCAUUUAGCUUUACUUUUAAGCCAUAAAAUGCUCAAAGUCUAGGCCUCAUAAGUUAGAGUAGACAAUAUCUUCACUUUGCUAUUGAAAAUCAUACCGUGCCUGUACGUCCAUAUGGUCAAUAAUAGCACCCUUGAAAUCUCUUCAAAAAUAUAUUGAGACCUGUUUUCACACCAUAAGUAGAGUUUAUCCCUAGGAAGGCAUCAAAUGAGUCGUUCAAUAUAAGAGUCGAUGAAAGCAUUGCAAAGCGGACAAAUGGUGCAUGUGAUUACCCCCUACGUGCGAGGUUGAACCAGGUGGACAAUCUAUCGAGUCUCAACUGCUAAAUGAGGACGUUUAUUUUGUUGGGAACUACCUUAGACCAAUGAGGUUAAAGUUGUUCAUUGUCAAGAGUGGAAAGGUAAUAAAAUUAUGCUGCAUUUGUUUAUAAUAAUGUCUUUUUGUCUUCUUGAUUCUACCGGCUGUUGGCCCUAAUGAUUUGUAAAGUAUUGUGGAAAUAAUUGUAAUUUUGCUACCUUUAUUCUUGUAAACUAAAUUACUAAAAGGCUUCUAUCUCAACGGUAUCCAGUGUUGUCCUUCCUCCUUGAGGUUGAGUGUUCAAGUCUCGUUGUGGACAUAGAUGGAAUUAAGGAGUAUUUUAGAAGUAAAAUAGAAACACAAUCUUAUUGUAAAAUAGAAACACAAUCCAUGGAGGUUGAGUGUUAACUAACCAUUUGGCCCCAUGUUCAUGAUAUAUGCAUUUCUAUUAUUCUAUAUAUGCAUAAAUAACUAAUUGUAAACUAGAAACACAAUCUUAUUUGAUAUUUAUAUUUGAUAAUCUUAUAGAAAUAGCAAGCCUAACAAACUUGGAAGGUAAAUAAAUAAUUAACAGAUUCCACUAAAUACUAAAAACAUCAAAAGGAAUUAUGAGUAAAUUUAGGAUUUUGAUAAAUUAGGAAACGAGAAUUCUAUAAAAAAAACCAUCCAAUCUAGUAACACAUACCUUGAGAUUUGAGAAGAUACACAACCCUAGACUAAAACUCACCGCUGCCGAAAAAAAAUGAUUUCUCACCGGAAACAUAACCACCGCAGAACUUCCAACUAGAAUAUAUCGCCGCCGCCAGAGUGCUCACCGCCAUCUCUCUUGUGUCCGCCUCUAUCGGUCCUUGUCUCUCCACUCUAGGGCCGGUCCAUUGUUUUUUACUACCCUGGGCUAGAUAAGAAUUUUAUGUCCUUAUAUAUAAAAAAUUUACAAAAUAAAAAAUGCAGCAAAUUUUAUAAUCAACCAAAUAAUACACAAAAAUAAUCUAAAACGAUGUCUUUGUGCAUUUUUUGAAGCAAAAACAUCUCUUAUUUUACAAUAAUUAAUAUUUUGCUGCCUCUAGAAGUCGAAAAUCUGAUUAGAAGUGAUCUUUUGACAGCAGCUAGAAAUAUUGUUUCUGUUUCACAUCACCUCAAAAAACACAAAGGUUUAGAAAAUUUGUUUAGACAACAAAUAUUAAACACAAACAUAUUAGAAAUUAAACUCACCGGAAUCCUAAAAUCUGAUUUCUGAAAAGUCAUAUACAAAUCAGAUUUGGAGAAAACAUAUUUGAAACAGCAUAUACAAACAGAUUUCAAAAUAUACAAAUCUGAUUUCUUAAAGUCUGAUUUCUGAAACAGCUCAAACUUGGAGAAAACGGUAGAACUCACCUUAAAUUGCUUACAGAAACAAAAACACCUGAAUCAAAUAUAAAAUCCAAGAAGUAAGAAAUAAAUUCGAUUUAUAAAACAAGGCAAAUUAAACACAUAUUUCGAAUGAACUCAUCCAAAUAUGCUUUCAGAACCAACAAAACCCACAUUUGAUUAGUGCAACAGUGAAAAAAUGAUAAUAAAUAAAAAUCCAAUAAGUUUUUGAGGAUUCCACUCUUUUUUCCUGUAAUCAAAUAGAGUAGAAAUCAAAUAAAUAAAAAACUAAUCUGAUUUCUGAAACAGAAACCAAAUCGAAUGAAAUCAUUUAAUAGUUGGAAUAUCAAUAUUUUUUGAAAUUAGGAGAGUACAGAAAAACUCAAGAUAAAGGUGUCGAUUCUACUUAUUAUUUUGAAUCUCAACUAUUUUCAAGUGAAAUCGACGAGUCUCAUACUCUCAUUCUAUUUUUCAAAAUAACUUAUGAAAACGAGUUAAAUAAGAAAUUAAUUAGUUUUUUGAAAACCUAAAUUAAAUAAACAUAAUUUUCGAAUGAAAACACCCAAACUUGAUUUCUAAAUCAACCAACAAGAAACAAAUCACACCAAAAUCAAUGAAUAACUAAAUCAGAACUUCAGAAGAAAGAUUAGAGAAAAUCGGACCUUGAAACCGGACUAGAUCAGAGGAAUCGUUGAUAUAUCGUGACUAAGUGUCAACUAAUAAAAAAAGAAAUUGAGAUAACGAGAUUUGAGAGAUAUAUGUUAUCGAUUUAUGGACUGGAAGUGAAAAAUAGAGAAAUCAAAUCUUACUUUUUUAUUUGUUGGCGACGUUUCUAGGUAGGCAAUGCCGCAUUAAUCCCAUUGACAAAGCCAACAAGUUUCUGGGCAAUAGGCACCAAGCGAGAGGCGACGUUUGGUUUAUCUAUGCGAAUGAUUGAUGAGACGAUGAUUAUUCAUUUGUUUGGCACGUCUCUUGCUUUCUCACGUUGAGAUCACAUCACAGAACAAAAUAUAGGCUAAGUUUUUGGGCCAUUAUAAUAUAUAGUAUAUAUAGCUAGACCAUUUUGAUGCCCUUAAAAGUUUGAUGCCCUGGGCCUAAGCCUAAUUCGCCCAUGUAUUGGGCCGACCCUGCUCCUCUCAGCCAUUGAGUAGCCUGAAACUUCGACAUCGAUCUCUGCUAGUCCUUUGUCGGAGGGCUUUCUCCACCGUAUGCCACACUGCAUCUCGGACCAGUGAGGCAAUGACCUCCGUUGACAUUGAUUUUUAUUGAAAUUGAUCUAUAAGUUGCUUUUUUAUCUCUAUCUUUCUUUCCAUUUCUUUCACUAGCAUGUUACAAUAUCUACGUUUUAAAGAGUACUCGUUAUAAACCCGCACCACUUUUAAGAGAAUUAGCUAUUUAGCUAGUCUAUUAUGAGGCUUAAGUAUUUUUAAUAUUAUUUAGACAAAAUUGUAAAAAUAGUUCAUGUGGUAUGCAUUUUUAUGGGGUUUUUGUAACGACCAAAAAUUUCAACCAAUUUAAAAUUUUUGAAAACAACCCGAUUCCAUUAAAGUUAUUACAAAAAGGUUUUCAAUACAAUUUAUUUUAAGUAUUCCCAGAAUCUCAUCACAACAUAAACACGAGGAGCGGUACGAUCACGCCUUCGCCUUGCCACGGUCUCCUGAAGAACCUGAAAAACAUAAAACCACAACUGUAAGCCCGAAAGCUUAGUGAGAUAUCCCCAAAAUACCAACCACAUAUACCAUACACGCAUAACAUGCCAUAACAUAUCCGAUCACAGAACAGCCAUGCACUUCGGGUCUACUGUGGGACUGGUCCGCCGCACCGGCCAACAGUCCACCUGGUCCACCCUCCGAGUCUAGCCAUAUACCUCGAGUCUACAGUGUGAUUGGUCCGCCCGCACCGGGCCUUCAAUCCACCUGGUCCACUCUCCGAAUCUAACCACAUACAUCGAGUCUGCAGUGUGAUUGGUCCGCCCGCACCGGGCCUUCAAUCCACCUGGUCCACUCUCUGAGUCUACAGUAUGACUGGUCCGCCCGCACCGGGCCUUCAGUCGGCCUGGUCCACUCUCCGAGCCUCGGCACGUCUGGUCCGCCCUCUUGGGGCCUACAGCCUAUCCGGACCGCUCGCUGGGCCUUCGGGACAACCGGUCCGCCCUGGGUAUCUUGGCCUACAGCACAAAGCAGGACCCGCCUCAACCCAACUCCAGUCCAAACAACCAUGUGCACAUAAACAUACAAUCAUAUAGCAAUUCACAGUCAACAAGCCGAUCAAACAGAUCACAUAACAUAUCAUCAUCCUAACCAGGAUACCGACCUAACCGGUCACUAGCAUAGCAUCACCCUAUCUCUCAGGAUACCGAUCUCAACCAGGUCUCUAACAUAUACCAUCCUAGCUACCAGGAUGCAAACAUAUCAAAGCAAUAACAUAACAACAACUACCCGGAUCUCAAUCCGAUAAGGGCCGGCCUUGGUGCCUUAGACCCUGUUGAUAUAGUGAGGAUAACUCACCUCGAAACUGCCGACUGAACAGAUAACCCAAGCUGCUCCGAUCACUGAUACGAUCUCCACCACUGGACAACCACCAAGGCACUGAACUCAAAACAAUAUCCAACAAUUACCAAAAUGCCCCUGGAAACCACUGGUCAACCCUUGGUCAAAGUCAACCCCUGACUGACUCUACUCGCCGAGUCAACCCGAUGACUCGCCGAGUCCCCAUGCUCAGAAAUUCCCCAAUCCGCGACUCAACUCGCCGAGUCACCCCGAGACUCGCCGAGUUCAACAACUCUGAGUCCACUCACACACAACUCACCGAGUCAUCCCCUUGACUCACCGAUUCACGGCUCAACCAGAAAAGAUUGGGACUCUUCGACAAGACUCGCCGAGUCCAAGAACAGACUCGUCGAGUCUAAGGCUAUCUUCAACCUACUCGCCGAGUUGUUCUUCCAACUCGUCGAGUUCCAGGCCAUCUUCAUCCAACUCGCCGAGUUGUUCUUCCAACUCGUCGAGUCCCAGCCUAUCUUCAAGCAACUCGCCGAGUCCACCCAUGUGACUCGCCGAGUACCACCGGGUCUGAAUCCAUACAGAGGCUUUCCAAGCCAUGCAGAUGAUCCAAACCAUAGAUCUACCCUUCCUAAGGCCAUCCAUCACGUAAAGUGGCAAACUUUACGUGAAUCCAAGGAGAUCUAGGCACUUUACACUCUAGGGCUAGGGUUUGGGACAAAAUAGCUCCUUCAAACACUCAUCAACAGGGACUUUAUGACAUAUAGGACCAUCACAAGCUCAGAUCUGAAGUAGCAUCCUCAGAUCCAAGCUUCUAUCUCACUUUAGAUGCCAUACCAACCACCACACAUGAACCCAUGAAGAAAAUAGCUUAAGGAAAUGGUUCCUUACCCUUGGAAUGAGCCCAACCAACUGUAGAUUGCUGUUUCCCCCAAGCUUCCUGAUACAAGCCUCCAAUCUUCAAGCUUAAAGCACCAAAUAUCCUUCUCCAAGCUCUAAUUCACUCAACAAUGGGGUUUCCUCACGAAAUUAGGGCUUCUGGAACUCAAGGGAUGAUAAGGAGGCUGGGGAGGAGACAUAAUGUUCUUUAUAUAGGGCUCAACCUCCGGAUUUAGGGUUUUCUCCACUCAGCACCAACUCGCCGAGUCCACCCAUGCUACUCGCCGAGUUGGUCACUUAACACGCGACUAGAGUCGCGACCCUACUCGCCGAGUCCACUCGUGGACUCGCCGAGUCGCUCCUUCCCAUUUUACUCUUUUAGCCCUUCAACUUUACUCUUGCUAUUCCGGGAUGUUACAAUUCUCCCCCACUUACAUUAGGCUUCGUCCUCGAAGCCUGCAACAACUCAACUGUUAGAAAUACUCCUGCCACGCAUCACCUGGCAUUAACCCAACCAGGUUCCUCAAAACACAACCAUAGAACCAGAAACUCACUUUCUCCUUCCUUACGGUGUCCUGACCACCGUCUCGAGCCGGCCACCGGCUUUACCCUCUGAUAACUCCACUUAACAACUGAGUACUACUCAUGAUGCAACACUGCUCCAAAUCACAACCAUCACUCGACCCAUAUGAGCUAGAAAAUAACCAUGCACCACCGGAUUCCCGAUCCGAGUCCAACUCUAAUCAUUCUGCUGACAGAAAGACACAUUCUUCAGAGCAACUCCCAUGAGUUCUCCUCUUGCAAUCACAUACACAUGCUGAACUAGCUCUAGCACCCUCAGGUUGGGAAAACCCGAUACACUGAUGACAUCUCCAAACAUCCCCCAGGAUGAACCACUACUACAUACACAAUUUCCUGAUCAGAAUCACACUGAGAGCCCAAGACUCCCUCCCUGCAUCCCUUCCGAGCCCCUUGGCUCUACACCCGCGGAAUUCCUUCCGCGACCUCAGCAGACAUCCCAAACCGGAUGUGAUUCCAUGCCACUGCCGCAAUCAUGCUGCUCAAAGCCCAUAAUUGGAUCACUAUAAUCAUAACUCUGCUCUGCCGCUUUCACUUCCGUGAAUUUGCACUCCCUCUCGGAGUUACACUCCUCUCUCUUUCCUUUGCCAAGGAAAUCCACUUGCUCGCCUUGUCACUCCGACAAGUGCCACGGUGCUCGCCCAACGCUACACCACUCCUUCAUAGCGUAACCGCACACAUGCUCUGACUCUGAUCGCAGGGACUCUCAAGCCCAUGCACAAACUCCACUAAUCAAGAUCAAAACCCGGGGCCAGACCUUCUAAUGCUAUCAUGCCGCAUAAACACAAUCCAUAUCCUCGAACCGAUCUAACAACGCCUGCAGAGUCUUCAGCAUGACUGGACCGCCUCACCAGGCCUUCAGCCAUUCUGGACCACUCUCAAAACCUUCAGCCAACCUGGACCGCUCUCUGUGCCUUCAGUCUGGCUGGACCGUCCUCCGAGCCUUCGGCCUGACUGGUACGCCUACCGGCCUCCGGUCUAUCCAGACCGCUCAACUAGCAUUCAUCAUUCCGAGCUACCUCUCCGAGAAAUCCUCCCAUGCAUACUGUUCUAGCCCUCUAGGGGUUCUGAACUCUAUCUCCAUCACACAUAAUCGAUCCCGGCCUGAUCCCAGGCCCUCCACAAUCAAAUGCUCUAGGUCUGUAUCCUGCCCUGCAUGCCCGACACUUGCUCCUACUAGCCUACACUCUGGGCUGACAUAACACUGCUGAAUCCCAAACAGCUAAGCAACCUCACAUGCUCAACGAUCUUCCGGAGAAUUUUCCAAUUCUCCCCCACUUAUAGCACUGACUAUCAAACACCAGUCACCAUUACCGACCACCCAAAACAACCUUGCACAAAACCAACACUUACACGCGGACUGCUUCCCACAAGCAUAAACAACCUUAACAAAAUCCCAUAUCAACACUGAUUAUCCCGCUCGAAAGAAAUCAAUUUGUAGCUAACCACUCCUCAGAAAGCAGAUGCUACCCGGCCUUCAGACCAAUGCCAGGUUUCCACUAACAACCCCCCAUAAUUGAUAACCACGAAAUUCCCAAAACUAAACCCAUAGCCAUGCCAUAACCCUCAAAGAACAACGAAUACCACACCGAGAACCACACAAAGAUACUAGCACAUAAACAAUACACCACAAUAAUCACAAGAUAACAAGACAUCAAGGAAGAAACAUACCCGCAGCUGCAUCCGACACUGCUCUGACCUCCUCUGUUGUAAGCUGAAAAGCACAACCCUGAGCCCUUGGGGGCUCCGCUCCACCCUGACCUCCACCCGUGAUCCUCAAAGUGGCCGGUGCUGGAGCCUGCACCGGUCCUGCAGCGAGCUGUGGACAGCAAACCCUCAAAUGUCCAACCUGAUGACAAUGAUAACAAAUCAUCAAAUCCCGAACCGGCGCUGACUGCCGACAAUCCCUCGCAUAGUGCCCCUCCUUUCCGCACUUGCGGCAUGCACCACCGGACCUACAAACUCCGGUGUGACCCCUCCCACACUUCCCACAAGUGUGGCUGCUCAGAUCUCCCACUCUAGCAUCAACGGUCUUGGACCGUUUCGGCGCCGGCUGCGACUGCACCGGAGCCUGCCUCAGCUCACGCANNNNNNNNNNNNNNNNNNNNNNNNNNNNNNNNNNNNNNNNNNNNNNNNNNNNNNNNNNNNNNNNNNNNNNNNNNNNNNNNNNNNNNNNNNNNNNNNNNNNNNNNNNNNNNNNNNNNNNNNNNNNNNNNNNNNNNNNNNNNNNNNNNNNNNNNNNNNNNNNNNNNNNNNNNNNNNNNNNNNNNNNNNNNNNNNNNNNNNNNNNNNNNNNNNNNNNNNNNNNNNNNNNNNNNNNNNNNNNNNNNNNNNNNNNNNNNNNNNNNNNNNNNNNNNNNNNNNNNNNNNNNNNNNNNNNNNNNNNNNNNNNNNNNNNNNNNNNNNNNNNNNNNNNNNNNNNNNNNNNNNNNNNNNNNNNNNNNNNNNNNNNNNNNNNNNNNNNNNNNNNNNNNNNNNNNNNNNNNNNNNNNNNNNNNNNNNNNNNNNNGUCAAAGUCAACCCCUGACUGACUCUACUCGCCGAGUCAACCCGAUGACUCGCCGAGUCCCCAUGCUCAGAAAUUCCCCAAUCCGCGACUCAACUCGCCGAGUCACCCCGAGACUCGCCGAGUUCAACAACUCUGAGUCCACUCACACACAACUCACCGAGUCAUCCCCUUGACUCACCGAUUCACGGCUCAACCAGAAAAGAUUGGGACUCUUCGACAAGACUCGCCGAGUCCAAGAACAGACUCGUCGAGUCUAAGGCUAUCUUCAACCUACUCGCCGAGUUGUUCUUCCAACUCGUCGAGUUCCAGGCCAUCUUCAUCCAACUCGCCGAGUUGUUCUUCCAACUCGUCGAGUUCCAGCCUAUCUUCAAGCAACUCGCCGAGUCCACCCAUGUGACUCGCCGAGUACCACCGGGUCUGAAUCCAUACAGAGGCUUUCCAAGCCAUGUAGAUGAUCCAAACCAUAGAUCUACCCUUCCUAAGGCCAUCCAUCACGUAAAGUGGCAAACUUUACGUGAAUCCAAGGAGAUCUAGGCACUUUACACUCUAGGGCUAGGGUUUGGGACAAAAUAGCUCCUUCAAACACUCAUCAACAGGGACUUUAUGACAUAUAGGACCAUCACAAGCUUAGAUCUGAAGUAGCAUCCUCAGAUCCAAGCUUCUAUCUCAAUUUAGAUGCCAUACCAACCACCACACAUGAACCCAUGAAGAAAAUAGCUUAAGGAAAUGGUUCCCUACCCUUGGAAUGAGCCCAACCGACUGUAGAUUGCUGAUUCUCCCAAGCUUCCUGAUACAAGCCUCCAAUCUUCUAGCUUAAAGCACCAAAUAUCCUUCUCCAAGCUCUAAUUCACUCAACAAUGGGGUUUCCUCACGAAAUUAGGGCUUCUGGAACUCAAGGGAUGAUAAGGAGGCUGGGGAGGAGACAUAAUGUUCUUUAUAUAUGGCUCAACCUCCGGAUUUAGGGUUUUCUCCAAUCAGCACCAACUCGCCGAGUCCACCCAUGCUACUCGCCGAGUUGGUCACUUAACACGCGACUAGAGUCGCGACCCUACUCGCCGAUUCCACUCGUGGACUCGCCGAGUCGCUCCUUCCCAUUUUACUCUUUUAGCCCUUCAACUUUACUCUUGCUAUUCCGGGAUGUUACAGUUUUAGUCCAAACCCCGCUUUUUUGGGCUUCAUGGUCAUUUUGAACUAGUUUCAUUGCGGAUUUGGUCCCUCGGUAAAUUGAAAUGACUUUAAUACCCUUGAUUAUUUAUUUUCUAUUUCUAAAUUCAUUUUUGCUAAGUUUUAAUACUUAUUUAUUCAUUUUAGUAAUUAAAAAAUGAAAAAACCUUGAGCUCGUCACCGCUACCAGAUCUGCAAACAAGAUACUCGGAUUUGAAAACGAGGUCCUCAUAUAUGAAAGUUAUCAUCUCCUUGAGCUCGUCUCGGCUAAAAGAGAAGACCUACAGCGGCGACGUUAGGGCUUGCUUUAACAGGAGGAGGAGGAGCUCGCCAGCUGAGGAGGAGAUCGGAGACCCAUGCACUCGAUUUGAUUUUUUCUUCUUGAAGGUGUUCAUCCGAAUAUCAUUCAUCAGAUUUGAUUUCGUGUGUGGAGAAGAAGGAGAGGGUGGAGGUUACCAGAAAAAUCAAUUUAAAAAAAAAAUGAGGUGAAGGACACGGUGGUAGUGGCGGACGGUAGGUGGAGAGUGUAUGUGUUCUUGAGUGUGUGUUCAUGAAUAUGAAUAUAUGUUCUUGAGUUUUGUAUUUGCAGAGAGAGAGAGAGAGAGAGAGAGAGAGAGAGAGAGAGAGAGAGAGAGNGAGAGAGAGGAGGAAGGGGGGAGAGAGAGAGAGAGAGAGAGAGAAAGAGAGAGAGAGAGAGAGAGGUGGGCCCUCUUUUUAUAUUAUUAAAAAAAUUAUUAAAAUAAAUUAAAUAACUAUUAGAUUUUUAAAAAAAUUGAAAGAAAAAUGAAAAAUAAAUACCACAAGCAUAUUAAAGUCAUUUCAGUUUACCGAUGGACCUAAUAGGCAAUAAAACUAGCUCAAAAGGAUCACGAAGCAAAAAAAAAAAAAUAUAUCAGAGUUUGGACUAAAACCCCCUAAAAAAAGCAUAUCACAUGGACUAUUUUUGCAAUUUUGUCUAUUAUUUAAUGUUUGUUAGUCCUAAACUCAUAUUUAUUUAAAUAAAAGAAUAUUAUAAAGUUUAAAGAAAAAUUAACAUUAAUGAAAAUAAUUUGAUCGGCUAAUUGUCAAUGUAUAAUUAGUAAUUUUGUAAAGUUAAAAUAAUUAGUUGUACCGAAAUAUAAUUGUUGUUAUUAUAUUUUACUACUUUGUUAACUAUUAAUAAAUCAUAGUCUGCGUCUAGAUGGUAAAACAAUGACUAUUGGUUUCGGGCCUUCCGAUUAAAGUGUCCAUCCCGCCCUCCCCUCUGCUAACUAACUACCAUAUGUAACCUGCUUAAGCGAACUGCCAAUAAGUAGCCAUGCUUAUGAUGACUCCAAUAAGCAACUCAGCCUUUACACUCAACAAAUUUGUUCAUUUUUUACCCCUAGCCGGAUUUUACAUUUAAAGGACGGUCACACAUUAGCUGACGCACUCAACAAAUUUGUUUGUUUUUACCCCAUAUUAGGAGUUUACCUUUAAAGGUAGGUCACACCUUAGUUGAUGCGAUGAAGUUGUUAGGUUGGAAAGAUGGUUUAUUCAAGCGAAAAAACGCAAGUAAUCGACGAGAAAUGGAGGAAGGGCGUUCAAACCCAUAUACCCUCCCCAGAAAGCCAACACCUUUACUGCUAGACUAAAAGAGUUUGUUUGAAAACUUUCCUAAAAGAUUAUACUUAAUAUCUAACAUGUAGGUUUUCUUAUUAUUAUUAUUAUUAUUAUUAUUAUUAUUAUUAUUAUUUCAUGAAUUUAUAAAUGUAUUUUUAUAAGUAAAAAAAUGUAUUUAUUUAUUUAAAAUUGUAUUUAUACCUUUAAAAAUAAUUAAAGAUACUUUACACCAUAUAAAUAAGUUUGUAAAGGUAUAUAAAUAUAGGUAUAUGCUUUGUUUAUUUUAAAAUUGUGUACAAAUAUUUGUAUGCUUUUUUAUGUAUUUAUACAUAUUUAUAUGUAUAUAUGUAUAUGUAAAUGCAAUUUUAUACGUAUUUAUAUCUAUAAAUAUGUAUAUAACAUUUUUACACGUAUAAAUAUAUUAAUAGGAUGUUUAUAUGUUUUUAUAUCUAAAAAUAGAUAUAUAACAUUUUUAUACGUACAAUGGUACAAAUACAUGCACAACAUUUUUAUANAAACGUUAUAUAUGUAUAAAAAUAUUUCUAUAUGUUAAUUAAAUAUGUAUAAGAAUUUAUUUGACAAAACUGUAAGAUUGGUCCCUGUGAUAUUCAAAAAACUUUGGAUAGGGUACAAAAAGUUUUCAACUUGCAUGGAAUGUCCAAAAUCAAAGUUUUUCUGGCUUUUUGGUCCUGAGACACUUGAAAAGUCGAUUUUUCUCUUUUCGUUUCUUUUUUUCUAUUUUCUUUAUUUACUUUGGUAUUUAAAUAAUUAAAAAUAAAAAAUAAAAAUUAAUCUCUCUCUCUCUCUCACAAAAACACAAAUCGAUUUCUCUCUCAGUAAGAUGCAUUCCUCAACAAACUACUUGUCGGAGCUACUCUCAAUACACCACUGUUAACCACAUUUCAAAAUGGGAAAGAACUCGAAAUUCUUCAAAUCACUCCCCGGAUUCAGGACCACCGAAGCCCCCACCACCCAAUCUUCACGUUCAGAGCAUAAACAACCAAUGCGACGGUGGAGUUUUGCGAAAUUGCACAAAGAGAUUCCUCACCGUCGACUCUGGGACACUUCCAAAAAAAUUCCCUUUUUUUAGACCUCCGAUGUUAGACCCGUGCAUUCUUGGGCCUCUGAUUGUGCUUGUAACUCAAAUUUAGAUUUCAUUUUCUCCCAUAGAGUUGCCCCGACGGAUAGAAUUUGGUUCAAAACUCGAUUUCAGACGUUCAACCCUUCCAGAUCAAAAAUUGAUUAAAAAAAUAGAUUGGAAAUUUCAAGAAAAUGAUAUUGUUGUAUAUUUGGCCAUUGAAGUUCCUAAAUCGAGGUGGAGGUAUACAGAGACAAAGUUUUAUUGAGAAAUCGAUAUCUUACCUUCAAUUUUCAUUUCGUUUUUAGGGUUUUGUUGAGAUAUAGGCUUUGCACCGCCGCUUGCCAUGGAGGUUAUAUCCGGAAUUGCAAAGUUAGGGUUUCCAGCGAUGGUGAAAUAGUUAUGGUUUUUUUUGCUUCAUCUUUGUUUCCCGGUACGAAAUAAAUGAUCACAAGGACGACAAGGCACUGGUGUGGAUCGGAAGAGAGGAAUGUAUCUUACAACCAAUUACAAAGCAAAUACUUACCUGAGCCGGAGUCGAGAGAGGAUGUGAGUGAAGAAGAUACAACGGUGUUCUUGAAUGUUGAAGAACAAAGCAAUAAAUGUGAGUGUUAUUCUUUGUUGACGAGAGAGAGAGAGAGAGAGNGAGAGAGAGAGAGAGAGAGAGAGAGGAUGAUAAUUUUUAUUUUUUAUUUUUUUAUAAUUUUUUAAAUUAUAACACAAUAAAAAAAUGGAAAAAAGAAAUAAUAAGGGUAAAAUGGACAUUUCAAUAUUUUCAGGACCAAAAGUAAAGAAAAAAUCUUGAUUUUGGAUCAUCCAUACAAGUUGAAAACUUUUUGGACCAAUUUUAUAGUUUUGUUAACUUUAUUUGCAUGUAUAAAAACGUUUUAUAUAUAUAUANNNNNNNNNNNNAGAUUUUUAUAUAUAUAUAUAUAUAUAUAUAUAUAUAUAUAUAUACACACACACUAGGUGACCGACCCUAACCGACCCUAGUAGGUAAAAUUUGGCUAAGAGGCAAAACUAAUCAUAUUUUCUACCAUUUGAGCAUAAACGAACAUUUUGUUAAGUAUUAGAGGCUUUUAUAUCAAUAACCCAUAAAUAUAACUGAGUUUGUAGGGCCUCGAGUAUAAAUAGAGUUUGGGUUAGGCCUACAUCCAAACAUAUUUAAGUCGUUUAAAGCUUUCUUCUUCGUCGUGUGAUCCAUAGUUGUCUUCUAAUUGUUCUAUGUUGAGUGGUUUUGUUAAUAGUCAGUUCCUCUUUAAGAUUUUAUUUUUUUCUCCUAUUAUUUUAUGCGAGGAUGGAUACUAAAAUGUUUAAAUUAACCGACCUUAUAAUCUUGUAAGCUACAUUUAUUGAAUAUUUCUCUUUGAAAUUGUAUGUUAUGAUAACAUAACUUUUUUAUUACUAAAAUUUAGUGUAAAUAUAUGCAAAUGUAUUAUUGUCUAGGAUUUACUCAUGCUCAUGGUCGUAGCGGAUGUUUAUAAAUUGCAUUCAAUGUUGAAUUGAAUGGUUCCAACUUCUUAAUGAUCGGGCUUACAUCCAAACAUAAAACCUAUCUUUUUUGCUAAAUCUUUCUCCUUCUCCAUCGUGAUUCGGUGCUCCUUCCUUUCUCGUAUCUGUUGAGUUGUUUUCUUAAUUUCCCUUUAAGAUCUUUUUUUGCCUUACAGUUUAUAUGAUUAUGGCUGUAAAGAUAUCCAGAUUCAUCGACAUUAUAAUCAUUUAUUGAUGAUAUUUUUUGAAAAUAUAUUAGAUAAUGUAGUUGAGCAUAACGACCACCAAACUUUGGUUAUUUGAAUAUCUAUUUUGUAUACAUAGGACAUGCGCAAUUAGUUCAUUGCAUUUUAAUAAGUUUAUCCCUAUCGCUUUCGUUCACAACCAAUUACUUUUUUCAUUAUCUCAGUUUUGAGUUAAUUUGUUAAUUUAGAUGCAUGGCAAUCGGAAGUACAUCAUAUAACUGAGAACAUAACUAUUUUAUAAUUAUUUUUUUAUGUAAAUAUAUUACUUCUAUUGGAGUUGUUCAUGCUCAUUAGUUUCACCGUCAAUCUUAGUUGAUGAAUAUCUGGUGCAUCCAUUUACUUAUGUAAACCAUCAAGACAUAAAACGGCUAGGGUUUUAUAUUAUUAUCAAAUAAGAUGUACAAGAUACAAUAAAAGGAAAAUACAUACUAGCUAAUUACAGUUUUCUAGCUAAUGGGUCAACAUAAGACCCAAUACAAAAUAAAGUCCAUAAUCUUAUUAUGUUAAUAUCCCCUUCAACCUCACAAUGCAACAAAGCAAUAUCCAUUGAGAAUUUGUCAGACAUAAAAUGAAAUCGAUGAGCAGUCAAUGGCUUUGCAAGAAUAUCAACAAUCUGCAAAGUGGAGGAAACAUAAGGAAGAGAGAUAGUUCCAUUCUGGAGACGAUGUCGUGUGAAAUGACAAUCAAUCUCAAUUUGCUUUGUACGCGCAUGAAACACUGAAUUCUUGGCAAUCAUUAUCACACUCUCGUUCUCAUAAUACAAAGGGGUAGGCUGAGAGAUGUGAAUGCUGAUAUCUGCAAGAAACCAUCUCAACCAAACAAUUUCUCAAGUAGCGAUAGCCAUGGCUCAAUGCUCAAAUUCUGUAGAAGAUCGAGAGACAAUAUCUUGUUUCUUGCCUUUCCAUGGUAUCAAUGAAUCUACUAGAAAAGCACAAUACUCAGUAGUGGACUUACGAUCAUAAAUAUGACUAUCCCAAUUUGCAUCACAACAGGCAUAUAAAUCAAGGAGGAUGUUGNAGGAUGUUGAUGGAAACACAAGAGUGGGGAACUGAUUACCAUGUAGAUAUCUCAAAAUACAAAGAACGACUCCCCAAUGAACAGUAGUAGGAGCAGUGACAAACUAGCUAACCACACGAACUGCAUGAGCAAUAUCUGAUCUAGUGACAGUCAGGUAAACCAAAAUCCCUACAAUGGUAUGAUAAAGGCUUGGAUCUGAUAAUGGGACACCAUCAGUUGGAGAGUACUUUGCAUUAAUCUAUAUAGGCAUAUCAACUGUCCGAUUAUCCGUGAGUCGUGCACGUUCGCUUUCAAAAAUGAUGAAUAUGAAGUCCGAGAGGCUGCAGGUACUAUGGAUCCUCUGACUCCCAAUCGGGUUUUUCAUUUGUUUCGAGAAAUAUAUCGAUCAAUUCUGAUUCUUUCUUUUUCUCUUGAUUCUUUUCCGAUCGAGAUGUAUAGAUCCUAUUCACGGAUUUAGAUCUGUAAGAGUAUUAUUCCGAUAGACAAUUCUUCUAUAGAUUUCAUUAAUAUCCGAGGUCACUAGUUUAUCCUCAUCUAUAUGAUAGAUUGGUCUCAACUCAGGAGGAAGGCUAAGGAGAGGACUUACUUUGUUUUCUUUCCUACGCAAGUCUGGUUCUAUCUCGGGUAGUUCGAGUAGUAGAAACAAAUCAGAAAUAUACUUCGUCUGAGAUAAAAGAUAACCAUUUGGAGACCGAGCAACUUUAAUCCCCAAGAAAUACUGUAGUAAACCCAUGUUUUUCAUAGCAAAACGGUGAGCCAAAUCACGCUUUAAAGACUCUAUACUAUCAUGAUCAUCAUCAGUAAUAAUCAUGUCAUCGACAUAUAAGGAAAGAAUAAUCUGAACUGCAUUCGUAUAUCGAACAAAUAGAGCCGAGUCAUUGUUACUUGGUUGAAAACCAAACGAAGUAAUCACCAUAGAAAAUUUCUCAAACCAAGCACGAGGGGCUUGUUUGAGGCCAUAUAGUGUCUUCUAAAGCCGACAAACUUCACCUGAUUGGUAAGCAAUACCAGGGGGAGGAGACAUGUAUACUUUUUAAUGAAGAUUACCAUUUUAGAACACAUUCAACCAUAUAUAUGGUCUAGCUCUGCCAUUGUUCACUACCUUUCAUAUUAAAAGUGAACCAAAGAGUAACAAUCAUGAUAAAACAUAAAUAUUAAAUAUGUAACACAAGAUGUGACUGAAACAAGUCGCAUUAAUUACUAGACAACCAAAAUGUUGAAAAUAUGCUAAUUACACUAUUAUCAACCUACAAUUUUGCAUCGAAUAUGCAAGUCACUAUAGAAUCAACCAAAAUGUAGGUAUGAUUAUGAUCAAGAAGUUUAAGCUUACAGUCUCAUUGACUGAACCAACAUCUCAUGUUGUAACGACCCAAUUUUCGCGUCCAAAAAUUUCGUUUUAAAACAUUACUUUAGGAAAUAUCAUCAGUUAAAAACAUUGUUGGAUCAAACCAUAAUACAACGUAGACCAAGUUAAAAAGUAAAAUCAUACAACCCAUCAAAAUAUCAGAGUAUAAAUCCCAGAGAAUCUCGUAAAUGCGGAAACCAGAGUGUGUGCAUGAUGUGCCGCUACCGCGCCAGCUCCUUCCCUUUCGAUGAAGAGGUACCUGAAACCAAAACUGUAAAACGUAAGCACAAAGCUUAGUGAAUUCCCCCACUGUACCACAUACCACAUAAUCACAUAACAUACGUAAAUUGUCAGGCAUAUCUGGGUGCCCGACCUACCCCUUCGGUCCUCUCGACCGGAUAUUGCCUAGCAUAUCUGGGUGCUGGCCUCCCCUUCGGUCCUCUCGACCGGAUACUGCCUAGCAUAUCUGGGUGCUGGCCUCCCCUUCAGCCCUCUCGACCGGAUACUGCCUAGCAUAUCUGGGUGCUGGCCUCCCCUUCGGUCCUCUCGACCGGAUACUGAGGAAACCAUGUCUCCCCUCUACCACUACCACAUAACAUGUAACACAAUAUCAGAAUCUAUCUAACAUGGCUGGGUAUGACUACCCCUUCGGCCCUACCGACCGGAUAUCUUGGGGACUAUCUCCCCCUACUGUUACUAGUACAUAAAUGCAACACAGGUAGUAGUAAUCCCUUAGAUGAAUAUCACAAAGACAAUCAUCUACAUACAACUCCUACUGGUGGGCCGGCAUUGUGGCCGUAGACCCACCGCUACUGGAAGGUAACUCACCUCGAAGUAGCUGCUGAUCUGAUUGGGAACUGACUGUCUACUGCUGCUGCUGCUGCUCCGGAAAUCCUCCGGCUGCAAUUCCCACAACAUACUCAAGCAAAUACUGCUGGCUGACCUUUGGGUAAAAUGACCAUUUUACCCCUGGUCACGCCCUAAGUCAAAGUCAGAGUCAACUUUUAGUUGACCCGACUCGCCGAGUCCCUACCCAAACGAUUGCCCUGGGUCUCAUUUCUACUCGUCGAGUUAGGCUAUGACUCGACGAGUUCUUUUUCUAAACUGAUAUUCGAGUCCUUCAUCCUACUCGCCGAGUUGUAUGAACAACUCGUCGAGUUCAUCUUCAUCCGAUGAACACUAAUGCUAAGACUCGCCGAGUUGUAUGAACAACUCGUCGAGUCCAUCUUCAUCCAAAGAACACUUAUGCUGAGACUCGCCGAGUUGUAUGAACAACUCGCCGAGUCUGUUCUUGAUCUAAGGAGAUUGCCUUGAACUCGCCGAGUCAGGGCAUUGACUCGUCGAGUUCCUCCAUAGAUGAGUUCAGCUGCCAACUCACUGAGUCACACCCUGUGACUCACUGCACACUCAACACUACGAAAAGGGGACAAACUCGGAGACUCGCGAGCAGACUCGCCGAGUCGUUGCCAUGCACUCACUAAAUACACAGAUUUGCUCGAUUCCAGUCCAUGCCAUUCACAGAUCUGGGUUCCUAGAGCAUGAAUCACACGUAAAGUUUCCAACUUUACGUGUAGAUAUUCACCAAUAAGGGUUUUAGGGUUCAAAAUGCACCCAAAAGGGUAGAUCUAGGGUCUUCAUGCAAUGAGGGUCCAUAAAGGCAACAGAUCUGAGCUCCUAGAGCUCAACCAUGCCUAGAUCUAAGGGCCAAUCAGCCUAUUACGAGAUAAUUUGCACAUACAAACUUGGGGAUUGGCUCAAGGAUGACUUACAUGAAGUUAUAAGCAUAGAAACAGGGGAAAAACGGAUUAUACCUUAAAGGAACUGCUGAAAGAGUGCAAAGAUGCCUGGAUCCUUUCCUCCCUCUUGAUCUACUUCCUCUUUUUGCCUGAAAACCUUCAAGAACACACACAAUAGCCUCAAACUCUCAAGGAACAAGCUUAGAACGAGGGUUGGGAGCUCUGGGGGGUGAAUGGGGGCUGGCCUGGGGCGGAUAUGUUGUUUAAAUAGGGUGCAAACCCCUGAAACUUAGGGUUUCAUCCAACAGCGGUGACUCGCCAAGUCCAGAAUAUGGACUCGCCGAGUCGCCAACUUAAAAUGGUCCCGGGUCCCGUCCUUACUCGGCGAGUAUGACCUAUGACUCGCCGAGUCCAAGGUAAAAAGAAAGAGAAUACUCAAAUAAGAUUUACGCCAGGAAUCANUCUCCCCCACUUAUUUUAGACUUCGUCCUCGAAGUCUGCUGCUCGAUCCUGAAACAGCUCGGGGUAAUGCUCCAUCAUCUCGUCCACCGGCUCCCAAGUCCACUCCUAACCCUUGCGGUGCUGCUAUUGCACCUUCACUAGCUCCACCCUCUUGUUCCUCAAAUCCUUCGACUUCCUGUCGAGGAUUGCAACUGGGCGCUCAAUGUAAUUCAGGCUGGCAUCAACCUGAAUAUUAUCCAAUGGCACUACUGCUGAAUCGUCCACUAGGCACUUCCGCAGCUGAGAAACAUGGAAAGUGUUGUGGAUCUGGCUGAGCUCGGCUGGCAGAUCCAGCCUAUACGCCAGCUUGCCCACCCUGGCUACAACCCUAAACGGUCCGAUGAAUCUCGGGCCCAACUUGCCCCGCUUCCUGAAUCAAAUGACGCCUUUCCAAGGCGACACCUUCAGGAGAACCAUAUCCCCGACUUGGAACUCCAAGUCGGAUCGACGCUUGUCGGCAUAACUUUUCUGCCGACUCUGAGCAGUCUGAAGCCUGCUCCGGACCUGUUGGAUCCUCUCGGUCGUCUUGAGCACCACCUCGGUGCUCCUCAUGACUCUCUGGCCAACUUCACCCCAGCAUAUCGGGGUCCUGCACCUUCGUCCGUACAAUAGCUUAAAUAGGGGACGGUCAAUACUCGCGUGAUAGUUGUUGUUGUAUGAGAACUCGGCCAGGGGAAGAUAGGUAUCCCAGCUACCACCGAAGUCUAGCACGCACGCCCGCAACAUAUCCUCCAGAGUUUGGAUGGUCCGUUCGCUCUGACCAUCUGUUUGCGGGUGAAAGGUGGUGCUAAAGUGCAGACGAGUACCUAGCUCUUCAUGAAACUUCUUCCAGAACCUGGAAGUGAAUCGCACAUCUCUGUCAGAAAUCACUGAAACUGGCACUCUGUGCCGAGCUACUACCUCUCGGAUGUAGAUAUCGGCCAACUUCUCGGCCGNNNNNNNNNNNNNNNNNNNNNNNNNNNNNNNNNNNNNNNNNNNNNNNNNNNNNNNNNNNNNNNNNNNNNNNNNNNNNNNNNNNNNNNNNNNNNNNNNNNNNNNNNNNNNNNNNNNNNNNNNNNNNNNNNNNNNNNNNNNNNNNNNNNNNNNNNNNNNNNNNNNNNNNNNNNNNNNNNNNNNNNNNNNNNNNNNNNNNNNNNNNNNNNNNNNNNNNNNNNNNNNNNNNNNNNNNNNNNNNNNNNNNNNNNNNNNNNNNNNNNNNNNNNNNNNNNNNNNNNNNNNNNNNNNNNNNAUCCACGAUGACCCAAAUCGAAUCCACUCCACGUGCGGUCCUGGGAAGCUUCGUGAUAAAAUCCAUCGUGAUAUCUUCCCAUUUCCACAGUGGAAUAUCCAACGGCUGCAUCUUGCCAUGCGGUCUCUGAUGUUCGGCCUUGACCUUCCUGCAGGUCAAACAUCGCUCGACAUACCAUGCCACAUCCCGCUUCAUGCAGGGCCACCAAUAAUCUAGACGAAGAUCCCUAUACAUCUUCGUCGCCCCGGGAUGAAUAGAGAAUCGGGACUUGUGCGCCUCCUCCAUCAAAAUCUGGCGCACGCCUCCGUGAUACGGCACCCACACCCUACGGUGUAAUGUCAAUAGUGCCCGACUAUCAUAAUCAAAGGAGGAAAACUGACCCAUCACAUGCUCGCUUUUCCGAUGCUCCUCCUUGAUAGCCUCCAGUUGAGCCUCCCGAAUUCGCUCUAACAGGGGAGUCACCACGGUCAUCCUCAUGCAUACGUCCCUGAUCGGCGCCGCCUUGCGGCUAAGCGCAUCGGCCACCACGUAGGCCUUCCCCGGGUGGUAAAGGAUCUCGCAAUCAUAAUCCUUCACCACAUCCAACCACCGACGCUGCCUCAUGUUCAGAUUCGGCUGAUCCAUGAGGUACCUCAAACUCUUGUGGUCCGUGUAGAUGGUACAUCGAACCCCGUAGAGGUAAUGUCGCCAAAUCUUGAGGGCAAAAACCACCGCCCCCAACUCCAAAUCAUGCGUCGGGUAGUUCGCCUCGUGAGGCUUGAGCUGCCUCGAAGCGUAGGCAAUGACAUGCCCCCUCUGCAUCAGUACCGCGCCCAACCCAGAAAUGGACGCAUCACAAUAAACCACAAAAUCCUCUACGCCCUCUGGCAGGGCUAAGAUCGGCGCCUCACACAAUCUCUGUCUCAGCGUCUCAAAUGCAGCCUGCUGCUCGGGUCCCCACCGAAAGACCACGGCUUUCUUCGUCAGCCGCGUCAGGGGCACGGCUAUCUUGGAGAAAUCCUGGAUAAAUCUCCGAUAGUAGCCUGCCAAUCCUAGGAAGCUCCGAAUCUCAGAUGGGGACUUCGGAACCUCCCAUCUCAUCACGGCCUCGACCUUGGCCGGAUCGACCAGAAUCCCGUUCUGGUUGACGAGGUGUCCGAGAAAUUGCACCUCGCGCAACCAAAACUCACACUUGGAGAACUUGGCAUACAAGCUCUCCCUCCUCAGGGUCUCCAACACCUCCCUCAGAUGCUCCUCAUGUUCCUCCCGAGUCUUGGAAUAAACCAAGAUGUCAUCGAUAAAGACUAUCACAGACCGAUCCAGCAUCGGUCUGCAUACGCGGUUCAUGAGGUCCAUGAACGCGGCAGGAGCAUUGGUGAGCCCAAACGGCAUCACCACGAACUCAUAAUGGCCAUAGCGCGUCCGAAACGCGGUCUUCUGCAUAUCCUCCUCCCUGACCCUCAUCUGAUGAUAACCCGAACGCAAAUCAAUCUUGGAGAACCAAGAUGCUCCCUGAAGCUGGUCAAAGAGGUCAUCAAUCCUCGGAAGUGGGUAACGGUUCUUCACCGUUACCUUGUUCAGCUCCCGAUAAUCUAUACACAUCCGAUGCGACCCAUCCUUCUUCUUCACAAACAGAAUCGGGGCUCCCCAGGGCGAACUGCUCGGCCGAAUAAAUCCCUUGUCCAGCAGCUCCUGCAGCUGCGUAGACAACUCCUGCAUCUCGGGAGGAGCCAACCGAUACGGUGCUUUGGCUAUCGGAGCCGCACCGGGAACAAGGUCAAUCCUGAACUCCACCUGUCGCUCCGGAGGUAUCCCAGGUAGCUCCUCCGGGAAAACAUCUGCAAAAUCUCGAACCACCGGAACCUCGCUCACUGUCGCCUUACCCGCCUCCCGGGUAUCCAUCACAUACGCGACAUAUCCUGCGCAUCCCUGUUGAAGAUAGCGCCUAGCCCUCGCUGCUGAACAUACAGUGGGUCCACACUGUGGCCUCUCGCCAUGAAUCACUAACUCUCCCCCGAUUGGGGUCCUGACCCGCACUAGCUGCUGCGCGCAGUCUAUCACCGCCCCAUUAGGGCUCAACCAAUCCAUGCCGAUAAUCACUUUGUUCCCACGCAACGGAAUAGGAACCAAGUCUACUAGGUAACGCUCCUCAAACAAUCGCAGAACGCAAUCUCGAAACACCAUCGAUGCUCGCACCGAUCGGUCAUCAGCAAUCUCUACCUCUAAAGGGAAAUCUAACUCACCUGAAGCCUCAUGAAACCUCUUGCUAAGCGCAAGAGAAACAAACGAUCGGGAUGCACCCGAGUCGAACAAUACCUGAACUAGGAUGUCGUUCACAUGGAACGAUCCUAAUGCAUACAUAUACAUACGGAGCACAUAUCAAUAUCAUAAUAUCAUAAAACAAAAGAUAGAGGUAAAGAAUCAUACCCGUCACCACAUCGGGUGCGGCGCGUGCCUCCUCGGUAGUCAACUGGAAUGCCUGGCUCCUCACCGCCGGAGCCUCUGCCUUGCCCUGCCGGCCAUCCGUGAUCCGCAGGGUCGCUGGAGCUGGCGCCUUCACCGGCGCUGAAACUGUCAACUGGGGGCAAUUGGCCUUCUUGUGGCCCCUCUGGUUGCAGUGGAAACACAGCAACUCUGAUGUCUGAAUAACUGCUGCCGGAGUAGUGCAAUCCCUGUUAAUGUGUCCAGACUUGCUGCACUUGUAGCAGCCUGAUGAUCCCAUCCUGCACGCCCCCUCGUGCGACUUGCCGCAUUUCCGGCAGCGUCCUCGUCCCUGUUGGCCCUUCGGCCCCACAUCUGAUCCCUUGGGCUUCUUCCCCGAAGCCCCUCCUGUCUGACCCUCCUCUAACUUCCGUUUCCGGAUAUGCUCUAAAUCUAUCUCCCUCUCCCUCGCCCUGGAAAUCAUGGAGUCCAGGGUGGGGCAAGCUGAAAAGCUAACAUGCUNNNNNNNNNNNNNNNNNNNNNNNNNNNNNNNNNNNNNNNNNNNNNNNNNNNNNNNNNNNNNNNNNNNNNNNNNNNNNNNNNNNNNNNNNNNNNNNNNNNNNNNNNNNNNNNNNNNNNNNNNNNNNNNNNNNNNNNNNNNNNNNNNNNNNNNNNNNNNNNNNNNNNNNNNNNNNNNNNNNNNNNNNNNNNNNNNNNNNNNNNNNNNNNNNNNNNNNNNNNNNNNNNNNNNNNNNNNNNNNNNNNNNNNNNNNNNNNNNNNNNNNNNNNNNNNNNNNNNNNNNNCCUGGCCAACUGCUGAAGCUCGACAGCCGGCGCAAACUCUGCCCUGAACUUGGUCACAAAGUCCGACCAGGUCAUAGCCUCGAUAGCUGAGGCUCCCAAUGAGUCACCCACUGACUCCCACCAAUCACGGGCUCGGUCCCGUAAACACCCUGCUGCAUACCUCACCUUCGACCCCUCGGGGCAGAAGCUAGUCAACUGUGCAGACUCGAUGUCUGCAAUCCAUCGUCUGGAGGCAAUGGGGUCUUUCACCCUGUGGAAAUCUGGCGCACCACUGCCCCUGAAGUCCUUAAAGGACAGUGUGCGAGAUCCCGACUGGCCAGAUGCCAUGUCGCUCCUGAACGCCCUGAGGCGAUCCUCCAUCUACUCGAAGAUCCCUUCCUUGAUUGACCCGAAGAUAAUGGGGGUCGACUCAAGGAUCCCCCUGGUGAUCUCUGACGCGAUGAACUCGCGUAGUCCCUCAUCUACCGGCUCGGAACCUGAUCCCGAACCUGAUCCCUCUCCUGAACCGCCAUCUAUCGACCUCGAUCGUAGUACCACCAUUGGGCAAUACAUAAAUAGCAAUCAUUAAUGAUACUAAUACUCCUUGAGGAAUCAUAUCUACCACAAGUUCCCUGGUCUCAUCUUGGCCUCCCUUGGUUCGGGUACGGAUCCUCUGCUUUCAGUAGUACGGGCCCAUACUACCUUCCACAUCUAUCCGUACCUUCUUCAAGGUAUGCCUUGACUCCACCAGAUCCCUUUCACUAAGGCUGAUCACUACUAUAAUCAUCCCAGGCUCGCCCUAGGGAAAUCUCCGUCUCUACUCGAUCCAGUCCUUAGUUCCUGCAGGCCUCCUUGUAAUGCCAAUUAGCCAUCACCCGAAUACCAUCACAUGCAACGAGACUCAGAUAAUCCUUCAAGUACCCGACUCGUCCCUACAACGGUUGGACUUAAACAAGAGCUGUGCAGUAGGAUCAAAUCCGGUACUCUAAGAUUAUUCAACUCUGAUCACAUGUGACGUGACGUAUUCACCCAAUGGCUAAUUCCCAUUAUUCGGAGUCCCACGUAGCACGAAGCAAGCAGCAUUCAGACAAGGGAAACAACCUCAAGCAGUUCCACUCUCAUGGAGAGAAACUGAACUAACACACCGUGCUAACUCUUACUAUCAGUCACACCCUAACAGGUUACCCUACUGCUGUCUACUCUAUACUAGCAUGCAAUUCUCAUACAGCUGGAACACAUAAAGCAGGCACAUAAGGCAUCACUCCUAGAUCCUUAGUCCUAUUCUAGCAUGUUGUUCUACAAAAGCUGAUAAACAUAACAUAAACUUGUAUGGGUACUUUGGGGAAUACUUACUUGAGCUCGGCCGGUGGCGCACAUCACACACUUCGUUCUUUCUUAAACUCUUUUCUCAAUUUUAGAAAACAUUUUUUUUAAAAAGAAAAAUCUUUUAAUCCCUCGAUUUGAGUUCAGACACCCCCGAAGGUGAGUCCGAAUCCCUCAAACCAGGGCUCUGAUACCAACUUGUAACGACCCAAUUUUCGUGUCCAAAAAUUUCGUUUUAAAACAUUACUUUAGGAAAUAUCAUCAGUUAAAAAAAUUGUUGGAUCAAACCAUAAUACAACGUAGACCAAGUUAAAAAGUCAAAUCAUACAACCCAUCAAAAUAUCAGAGUAUAAAUCCCAGAGAAUCUCGUAAAUGCGGAAACCAGAGUGUGUGCAUGAUGUGCCGCUACCGCGCCAGCUCCUUCCCCUUCGAUGAAGAGGUACCUGAAACCAAAACUGUAAAACGUAAGCACAAAGCUUAGUGAAUUCCCCCACUGUACCACAUACCACAUAAUCACAUAACAUACGUAAAUUGUCAGGCAUAUCUGGGUGCCCGACUCUUAUAUAUAUGGAAUGGGCCAAGUUCAUUUAGGUUGGGCUAAGCUUUCAUGGAUAGUCCAUGGAGUGUUUAACCCAUGGAUCCUAGGAAAUGAAAGGUCAUGGGUAUUAGGGUUUAACCCUAAUCCUCCACACUAUAUAAAGAUGUCCUUGGUUGGUGAAAUUGGCACUAGUGUGGAUACACUAAGAAGGNAAAGGGCUAGCCGAUUUCAUGAGUUGUAGAAUUCUCUCAAGCUAUUCUAAGUGUUUUGGUGAUUGUGAUUCCACUUGAGGCUUCCACACUAUUGGGGCUAAGCUCUUAAAGCUUGAAGACAUCAAGCUACAUCAAAAGGUAUGUAUUCUAUCUUGUUACAUUCAUUGAUUUGUAUGCUAGAUUAGGAUAAUACCUUGGAAGUUCUUAUUUGCAUGUAUAAUAGAGAAAACAUAGAUCCAAUGUAUUUAGGGUUGCAUGUACACUUAGGAGUGUUAGAAUGCUCAAAAUCCAACACUAAGGGCCAAUCAGCCUAUUACGAGAUAAUUUGCACAUACAAACUUGGGGAUUGGCUCAAGGAUGACUUACAUGAAGUUAUAAACAUAGAAACAGGGGAAAAACGGAUUAUACCUCAAAGGAACUGCUGAAAGAGUGCAAAGAUGCCUGGAUCCUUUGCUCCUUCUUGAUCUACUUCCUCUUUUUGCCUCAAAACCUUCAAGAACACACAUAAUAGCCUCAAACUCUCAAGGAACAAGCUUAGAACGAGGGUUGGGAGCUCUGGGAGGGUGAAUGGGGGCUGGCCUGGGGCGGAUAUGUUGUUUAAAUACGGUGCAAACCCCUGAAACUUAGGGUUUCAUCCAACAGCGGUGACUCGCCGAGUCCAGAAUAUGGACUCGCCGAGUCGCCAAUUUAAAAUGGUCCCGGGUCCCGUCCUUACUCGGCGAGUAUGACCUAUGACUCGCCGAGUCCAAGGCAAAAAGAAAGAGAAUACUCAAAUAAGAUUUACGUACCAGGAAUCAGGUACUACACAUGUUGAACAAGGGUUUCCAAAUAAUUUGAAAAUAAUAAAAUAAAUCAUUUAAAUACUGAAUCAUACUCGUCUUUUUCCUACGGAAACAAACAACGGAUAUAUUUCGCAAGCAGUCCCCGUGUCUAUGAUUAUUGCACACUCGUCUUGGAAUUAUAAAAUGUUUUGUAUUUGAAUAGCAUCAUUGAAGCUCACUAGUCUUGAUUAUUGCACACUCGACUUGGAAUUAUAAAAUUGGACCCCCUCCUUAUAAGUGUUGAUCAACAAAUCACCAUUGUUGGUCAGUUGCAAAGCUCCUUUGAUUGAAAUCAAAGAACCAUUUGUUUUCAAUUUUAAAACCACAAACCAAGAAGCAUCUCUCCACACCUAAUUAAACAUCUUUCACAAGAAAUCAAAGCUGGAGAACCUUGGAUGGUUGUUAGUCUGUUCACUACCCAACUCAAACCGGGUACAGGCAAUGGAAUCAUACCAAAAACAUGAGUGUUCAAAUCGAAGGUUAGUAUACAAGAAAUGCAUUUGUCUUGUGAUUAUGUAUGAUAACCUUGUACCUCCCAAUGAAACACUCCACAGAAAAAAUAGGCUUGAUAUGACACAUAAGUAGACUGAGGUUUAGGGGAAGCAAUUCCACACCAAAUGCCACUCUUCACAGCAUAAACAAAUUAAUGGUCUUUGGCACACCAUAUGUAGCACCUGGUUCUUGGUAUGUGUUCUGUUAUUAAAUCUUCCUUAUUUUUGCAUUUUUGGCCUUGGACUCGGCAAGUCGAAGGACUGGCUCGCCGAGUAGAAGCGGGAUGAGGCGCGGGAUUGAAGUCGCGGAUUAGGCGAGUCGAGUCCCGGACUCGGCGAGUAGCUGCUGUUUGGGCAAAAACCCUAAUCCAAGGGGUUGCACCCUAUUUAAACGACCUUAUGCAGCCUCCUUUCCCCCUUUAUGCUCCCAAACACUCCUCAUAGCAAACCCUAGCCGUUCUUGUGAGUUUUGAUCUCAAGGAAGAAGGAGGAGCAUAGAAGGAUCAAGAAGGGACUGAAGGAUUCGAGUUUGGUUCAUCAUUUGCAGUCUUUGGAAGGUAUAAAGUCUGAACCUUGCUCAUUCUUUUGUUAGAUCCCUCUUUGGGGUGAUUUAUGGCUUUUAUAAGCCAUUUUUGGUGGUCAACCAUGUUUGCAAACAUGGUUGGGGGUUUGGGCUUCUGUAUCAUGUCAUUUUAUGAGCCACAAGUCAGAUUUAGGUUGCUUUUUUCACCAAGGAAGGCCUCAUGCAACAAAAGAACCAUUCUAGAGCCUUUUAAGCUCUAAUGUCCCAUGCAUGCACGUAAAGUUUGUAACUUUACGUGCUAAAUCGAGUUUAGGGGCCUGGAUCUAUCAUUUGGUUAAGUGUUGUACAUCAGAAAUCAAAGUUCUUAGUAAGGAAUGUGAUAGACUCGGCGAGUCCAUUCUUGGACUCGACGAGUCCAAGGGUUUUGGUCCCAUAUCAGUGAGGGUCGUAAGGACCAGUUGAGUGUGGAAGGGUUUUUAGGAGUCUCGGGGAGUGACCCAACGUUCUGGACCAAGCAAAGGGUUCUGGGAAUUCAUGGUACUCGGCGAGUGCAUGAACGGACUCGGCGAGUCCAAGACAAUCUUCAUGGAACUCGGCGAGUUGUUCAUCAACUCGGCGAGUCGAGGACAUAACGUGUUCAUAGGAUGAAGAGUAACUCGACGAGUUGUUCAUACAACUCGGCGAGUCAGGUCAGGACAUGAGCAUCAGUUGAUGUUGAACUCGACAAGUUGUUCAUACAACUCAGCGAGUCAGAUGUGGAUUCAGUCGGUGUUCAUUUAGAAGGAAAACUCGUCGAGUCAUCGCCUAACUCAACGAGUAGAGACGGGUAUGAGGUCUGAUGGAAGGAUAAGGACUCGGCGAGUUGACGAGUCAACUCGGCGAGUCAGGUCAACUGGAAGUUGACUUUGACGUUGACUUUGACGUUGACUUUGACUUGGUCAAGGAGUAAAAUGGUCAUUUUACCCUAAGGGUAGAUGUCAGUUUCUGACUAAGUGUUUUCUGGGAAUUUUUAGCCGGAGGACUUCCGGAGCAGCCGCGGCAGCAGUCUGAGGAUUUCUGCACAGUUCAGCAGAUACGAGGUGAGUUGCCUUCCAGUAGGGGUGGGUCUAAGGCCACAAUAUCGACCCACCAUUGAGGAGUAUUUAGAAGAUAAUUAUCUUUGUGAUAAUUUAUCUUGGUUUGGUUUGCAUUUGGUUAUGUGUUAUAUCUGUAUGAUAUGUUGCAUGAUAGGGAUAGUUUCCCUAAUAGUGGUCCGUAGGACCAAGGGGUAGGUCAGUACCCGGAUAUGUCUGAAUGUGUGCUUAUAUCUGCUAUUGUAUGCUAGUGGUAGGGGGUGGAAUAGUCCCCAGUUACCGGUUGAAAGAUACCGAUGACGAUUACCGGUUGAAAGAUACUGAUUAUAUUGUAUGGUAUGUGGUAUGAUGGGGGAACUGACUAAGCUUUGUGCUUACGGUUUCAGUUUUUGGUUUCAGGUACCUCUUCAUCCAAGGGGAAGAGCCGGCGGCGUAGCAUGGCAUCACACACACUCACAUAUGAUUUCCGCAUGGUGUUUCUGGGAUUGUACUCUGAUGUGACAUUUGUUCAUGGUUGUGGGUUUUUAACAUGAUACUUGGUUUUGAGAUGACAUGUUUAUACAAUAUUUCCUAAUGAAUGUUUAUGAUUUAAUUAAUAAAAAAUGAAAUUUUUUUGGGCUUGAAUUUUGGGAUGUUACACAAUAUCAAGACAAUCUUGUAAUCAUUACUGAUUGAAUCGAAUCCAAACCCAAUCCUUGCCCAAGGGAGUUUGUGAACUCCGAGGACAUUCAGGCACACUUAGUAAGAACCUAAUUGAAGGGUUCCGUAGACUCAAAUGAUUUUUAAUCCGCAAACAGAUGAUUCCAUUACAUGAAUCAUCAAUUCUGCCACUAGGAAACUGAACUGGUGUUAUACCAAUGUAUCCACGUUUACUGCACAAUGGCAAAUGGUCUUCUCCAUUUAAUGUAUAAAAAUCUGCGUCUUCAUUUCUGUAACUCUUUCCAUGUCUGAAUAGAAUUUUUUGUGGGGAUCGAAAAGUGUGCAUGCCUAAGAAACUGGGGCUAGAAUACAACUACAUAACGACUUAGAGAGUGACCUAAAUCCGAGGAGGGAUUUAGGCAGUAGUCUUGUAAAUACUUAAAUAAUUAACUCUUCACAUAGAUAAUCUGACAUUGUUUAGUCCUGCAUUUUUUUUAACAAGAUAAAAAUCAGCUGAAAUAUAUUAAACUAUUUGUGUUAGCUUUUCAAUGAAUCAAAUUCUUGACUGAAAUCAAACAAAAUCAGUUAAGUUUAAAUUUGGUUUUCCUUAUUCCUUGUAUAAAUAUGCCAUAUUCUUUAUUGAUGCAACAAUACUGUUCAUUUGCUACCUCUCCAUGACAGAAGAUAGAAAACUUGAAAUUUUAGUAGCCAUCAUCGAAUAAAUUGAUAUGGAAAAAGAUAAGAUCUUAAAAGGGGAAUUGACUAUUAACAAAACAAGUUACCAGAGAAACGGAAGAAGAGCAACGACGGAUCAUGAUGAAGAAAAAAAGCUUAGACGCCUUAAAUAUGUUUGGAUAUAGGCCCAACCCAAAUUUUAUUAAUUCUCAAACUCUUUAAAGUUUAAAUUCUUUUCUAUCCGAUAUUUAUUUCGUUUAUAAAAUUUAACUAGGUUAAAACCCGUGGAACCCACGGGUGUUAAUUUUAAAUAGAAUUAAAAAAUUGAUUAUGUAAUAAAAUAAUAUGUUUCAUUAAUCUGAUCUUACCACUCUAUAAUCUUGUAUUCUAUAACUUUUCAAUUUCUUAUAGAAAACACAUAAAGGAAACUGAUACAAAAACAUAUUUUCAUUUCUUCUUACCAUAAAAACAACUUUCAUGAAACAAACAAAAUGUUUAAAUGAACAAAUAGAACAUGAAAUAAAGAAUAUGUGAAUUCCAGAUGAACAAAUACAAUCAAACACAUUCAAAGACAACAUUAAGUCAACAAUUGGAAAAAAUAAAAAUAAAAAAUGCUCUCAAUUUACACAAGAACAGGUCACACUGAAAUCUGUAUGGGUGUUGUAUCUUUGCAAAGAUAGUUUCCCAUAGCUUGAGCACACCACCAACAACUACUGUAACAACAAUGAGUAAAUUCAAAAUAGCAAGGAUCCGAAUCAACAAAAAAAUUCCAGUCAGUUCUUUUUUAUUAACAAUUUACCGAAAAUACCCCUUAGAUCUUUUGGUAUAAUAAAGGUUGCAAAUGCCCUGAAUCCAAUUGCAAUUGAUUCUAUAAUCACAUAGGCAUUGAAACUUCAUUUGCUAUCACAGAAAAAAAAGCACAUUGUUGUAAUAAUCCAGAAAAAUGACCAAAGUACCCUCAGAACGUAUUAUUGCACCAGACGCUCCAAACUCAAAAGACUUCAAAUCCAAUCCGAAGCCCCGCCUGUCUAGCAUAAAAUCGAAUAUCCAAACUAACCCAGAGAACUAUCACAUAUGCCAAAAUUCAAAAAAAGAUUGAAAAUGCCCUUUUUCCAAAUUGUUACACCAAGACUCAAAAUUCCUUUCUAAACAUCUCCUCUUAUCUUUCUUUUUCCCGUGAAAAUAGAGAUUAAAAGUGCACAAGUACAGGUACUUACUUCCCAAUAAAUUUGAACUUCUCUAAAUUUGAUGUUUUGGCAAUCAUAAUUCAUCAGAGUUUUUCACAAAUCAACUUCAUCUAAUAGUUUAAUCUACUCAAUAUUUUUACUUAUCCUUGAUAAAACAACAACAAUGUGUCAAUAAGAAAAAUUAGCUAUAAUACUAUAAUUGAAUAUUUCGAACAAUGUGGUUUAUUUGAAUUUAUUUGGAAUAUAUCUAAAAGUUACUAAAAAUGAAUUUGACUCAUUUCAGUAAAUAUUAUAUGUACGUUUUCUAUUUUGGUUGUAGUUAACUAUUUUGAUUAAUUUAAUAACAGUAGAGUAAUCAACAAAAGAAUAAGAAAGACAUAUUAUUAAAUAAUAUAAGUUACUUUUUUAACAUUUACAUACAAAACUUUUAAUAAGAGUUAGAAUUGAAAAAAUUUUGGAAUUUUUAUUAACAUAGUAGCUUCAUUUGGUUUGUAUCUAUAUAAAAGCAUCAUUCGAUUCCAUUACUACUAAAUUUUCAAAAUUCAUUUACAAAGUAAUUUAUGAGUCAUCACGUCAAGAAAUUUUAAUGAACUUAUUCUUAAAAAAUGAAAAAAAUAAAGUCUAAAUCAAUUUAAUUUAGACUAUAUAAAAUGGUAGCUUGACUUGGGUAUAACCAAAGCAAACAUCAAUCGAGACACUUUCUUCCUCUCUGCUUGGUUUUUGGGAACCUAACCAAGAAAUAACUAUGUUAUUGGCAUAAUAUCUUAUAGAAACUACAAAUCGAUCAUGUGAUAAAUGCAAUAUAUAGCAACAUAUUUUCAUUUUUAUGUCUAAUAUAACAUCAUACUUUGUAUUAUAAAAAGCACAUUGCUAAAUUUAAAAAAUAAAAGUAAUUAUUACCUGUUUUAAAAUUAGAGAAUGGUCCCUCUCCUAAAUAUAUUUAACAACAGGUAUAGUCCCUAUUUAAAUAAAUUUACAAAAAUGAUCCAUAUAUAAAAAUAGUGUAUAAAUAGCCCAUGUUUAAUAAAAUUAACAUUAAUCGUCCCUAUAUAAAAAAAUGAUCAAAUUGACUGGUCAAAAUUAUCAGAUUGAGCAAAAUGGUCAAAAUGAGUACUUUUAGCAAAAAAAAAAAUAUACUUCUUGUUUUAAGAGUUUUACUUUUACAUCUAUGUAUUGCUUUUAUUUUUGUUUAACUGGGCCAAAUUAUGAAGAAAAAAACCCCGAUAAAAAUGACCAAAUUGGACAAAAGGUCAAAAUGGUCAUUUUGACUAAAAAACUCAAAAAAAAAUCGAACUUUUUAUUUAAAAAGUUUCAUAUUAGUAUUUUUUUUUAGCAUAAGUACACCAAAACUAUGAAUCUUUUUUUUUUUUUUGUAAGAAUGACAAAAUGACCAAAAUGGUCAUUUUGACUAAAAAAGAAAAAUGAACACGCUUAAAUUAGAAAAUUCUAUUUCAUAGCAAUUAAUAUAGUAAGGAGUAAAUGAAUAUUUGACAUAAAACCCCAUAAAAGGAAAUUCACUGAUAGUAAUAUGUGAGACUUGAGAUGCCCAUCCCGGUCAAACCACAUCUUAAUCACUUUGUCAAGAAUAUCUUCAUCAGUCUGCACCAAAAAGGGUACAAAAAUACAAUAAUGAUGGGUUUUGGUCAUAAGACAUCCUAUGUGCUCAUACAAACCCUAAUGCUUGGAUCUAGGUUUGUCUAUUGUACAUGCUUUGAAUCCAAGACUAUAAACCCUAAUUCUAGCAUAUGGAAAUCAAUAUUAACAUAUAAUUAGGUUUAAGAUAUUACCUUGAUUGUUAUGUAGCAAUAACAAUCCCAAUUCCUCCUUGAAUUGACUUUGGAAGGCUUAGAGUCACAAGUGUCACUCCUCUAAUGGCUUACAAACACCAUAAGCAAGUGGAGAAGGUAUAAAGAGAGAGGAGAGAGGUAGGAAUUCGUCCUUAGGACUUCUUGGGAAGGGUUAGACGAAUUCAUAAGCCUUAGGGGGUUUAUAUAGGUGUAAAGAUUAGGGUUUUAGUCCUUAUCCUUAUCUAGUUGCUUGUCCACCAAGCAACCAUAAGAUAAGUCCUAGAAACCCUUAUCCUAGUCGAAUUCUAAGGGAUUUACACCUCAAAUUCGUUCACCAUAUAUAUAAGAUAAUCCUUACCUUAUUUUGUAACUAUCACAUAAUUACAAUUCAGCCCCUCUAGUUUAAUUAAUUACACUUGAUCACAAAAUUAAUUCUUAAUUAAUUAUUGACCAAUAUUAAUUAAACAAAUAUGAUUUCUCCUUUAAUAUAUUAUUCUUAUAACAUAUUAAUAAAUCAUAAUAACCUCUCUCUCUAUUUAUUUCUCCAAUCAAGUUGCUUUGGUGAAGGCAACCCAAAAGGACCAUGCACCAUCGGGUCAAGUACAUACCAAAAUAGUUAUGGACUUAGACACUAAUCCAACAGUCUCCCACUUGGAUAAGUCUAACAACUAUUCUGCGUAUGACUUCGGAUCCCGAUCUGCAAUCGUAGCUUUCCAAAGCCGCUGUCAACUCUGAUCAUAUCAGAUACGCGUGUCCUUAGAUAAGGGAUCAUAUAUUCCUCCAUUCUAGAUAUCAUAUGAGAUAUGAUUUCAAAUCAUUCUCUUUGUACUAUAUCUCGAUUUCCGAUUUAUGACGACUGACUAAUUGAACAAAUCAAAUUAGCCCUAGCCCGGCCGAGCAUUUACGUUUGUCAUCACUAAACCAUCGAGGGGCCCAAAGAUAUCGCUUUUAUCCUACUUUGGAUAAAAGGAACGGAUAAACUUUGAUACAAUGCUUGCUUGCACUCACUCACCGAAUCACACACAACAAUAUGUUUUAUAACACCAAGUUACUAGUGCGUUUACAUAUUAUCAAUGUGCAACCGAUUUGCAAGAUACAACUCACACAUCUCGGUUUCAAGAAUAUAAGAUGUUAUCGUCUCACCAAUCACUCGUGAUACAAUUCAUGGAGUGAUCCAAGUGAGCGUGGGUUUAAUCCAAUGCUCAAAUCACAUUCAUAAGCACUCAUGAACGUUGCAGCAAACAUUUGCUUAUGUCUA
RNAcentral lists this long non-coding RNA (39043 nucleotides) under Lactuca sativa (garden lettuce). RNAcentral's name for it is "long non-coding RNA (LSAT_LNC007685)". The record is from RNAcentral. Lineage: Eukaryota; Viridiplantae; Streptophyta; Magnoliopsida; Asterales; Asteraceae.